RNAcentral lists this ribosomal RNA (406 nucleotides) under uncultured bacterium. Its description in RNAcentral is "partial 16S ribosomal RNA". It matches the Rfam family "Bacterial small subunit ribosomal RNA", at positions 30 to 526 of the family's 1533-position model. The record is from RNAcentral.
AUUGAACGCUGGCGGCAAGCCUAACACAUGCAAGUCGAACGAGUGGCGGACGGGUGAGUAAUGUCUGGGAAACUGCCUGAUCGAGGGGGAUAAAUACUGGAAACGGUAGCUAAUACCGCAUACCAUCGGAUGUGCCCAGAUGGGAUUAGCUAGUGGGUGGGGUAAAGGCUAACCUAGGCGACGAUCCCUAGCUGGUCUGAGAGGAUGACCAGCCACACUGGAACGGUGACACGGUCCGGAUUCCUACGGGAGGCAUAAUGGGGGAAUAUUGGACAAUGGGCGAAAGCCUGAUGCAGCAAGGCGGCGGAUAUGAAGAAGGCUUUGGGGUUGUAAAGUACUUUCAGCGGGGAGGCGUUACCCGCAGAAGAAGCACCGGCUAACUCCGUGCCAGCAGCCGCGGUAAUAC